UGGGGAAUAUUAGGCAAUGGGGGAAACCCUGACCUAGCCAUGCCGCGUGCGUGAAGAAGGUCUUAGGAUUGUAAAGCGCUUUCAGCGGGGGAAGAUGAUGACGGUACCCGCAGAAGAAGCCCCGGCUAACUCCGUGCCAGCAGCCGCGGUAAUACGGAGGGGGCUAGCGUUGUUCGGAAUUACUGGGCGUAAAGGGCGUGUAGGCGGCCAAUUAAGUCAGAGGUGAAAUCCCCGAGCUCAACUUGGGAACUGCCUUUGAUACUGAUUGGCUAGAGUUCGGGAGAGGGUAGUGGAAUUCCCAGUGUAGAGGUGAAAUUCGUAGAUAUUGGGAAGAACACCAGUGGCGAAGGCGGCUACCUGGACCGAUACUGACGCUGAGGCGCGAAAGCGUGGGGAGCAAACAGGAUUAGAUACCCUGGUAGUCCACGCCGUAAACGAUGUCUGCUAGUCGUUGGGGAGCAUAGCUCUUCGGUGACGCAGCUAACGCAUUAAGCAGACCGCCUGGGGAGUACGGCCGCAAGG
RNAcentral lists this ribosomal RNA (522 nucleotides) under uncultured bacterium. RNAcentral's name for it is "bacterial SSU rRNA". It matches the Rfam family "Bacterial small subunit ribosomal RNA", at positions 355 to 893 of the family's 1533-position model. The record is from RNAcentral.